AAUUCGCCCUUAGAGUUUGAUCAUGGCUCAGAGUGAACGCUGGCGGCGUGCCUAACACAUGCAAGUCGAACGGUAACAGGAGAAAGCUUGCUUUCUUGCUGACGAGUGGCGCACGGGUGAGUAAAGUAUAGCUAACGUGCCCGUAAGAGGGGGAUAGCCACUGGAGACGGUGAUUAAUACCCCAUACUCCUUCUUAACACAAGUUAAGUUGGGAAACGGAUUUCCGCUUACGGAUCGGGCUAUAUCGUAUCAGGUAGUUGGUGGGGUAACGGCCUACCAAGCCAAUGACGCGUAGCUGGUUUGAGAGGAUGAUCAGCCACACUGGUACUGAGACACGGACCAGACUCCUACGGGAGGCAGCAGUGAGGAAUAUUGCACAAUGGAGGAAACUCUGAUGCAGCAACGCCGCGUGGAGGAUGACGCAUUUCGGUGUGUAAACUCCUUUUAUCAGGGAAGAAGAUGACGGUA
This 468-nucleotide ribosomal RNA is filed under the name uncultured bacterium. Its description in RNAcentral is "bacterial SSU rRNA". It matches the Rfam family "Bacterial small subunit ribosomal RNA", at positions 1 to 477 of the family's 1533-position model. The record is from RNAcentral.